GGGCGUCAGAGCCUCGGGCCCCGGUCUACGGCUCCGUCCCUAGUGCUCCGGCCUCUGGGAGCCCUAGUCGCUGCGUCCUGAGACCCCAGGUGUAGACACGUGUGACAGUCCACGCAGUAGGACCCCUAUUUCUACCGGCUUUGGACUUCCUCCUGUCGCACAAUGCCGCCGCCUUCGGACAUCGUGAAGGUGGCCAUAGAAUGGCCUGGCGCCUACCCUAAACUCAUGGAGAUUGACCAGAAAAAACCACUGUCUGCCAUAAUAAAGGAAGUCUGCGAUGGGUGGUCUCUUGCCAACCAUGAAUAUUUUGCUCUGCAGCAUGCUGAUAGUUCAAACUUCUACAUCACAGAAAAGAAUCGCAACGAAAUAAAAAAUGGCACUAUUCUUCGAUUAACCACGUCCCCAGCUCAAAAUGCCCAGCAGCUCCAUGAACGAAUACAGUCAUCAAGUAUGGACGCCAAGUUGGAAGCCCUGAAGGA
Molecule: long non-coding RNA, 479 nt
Filed under: Rattus norvegicus (Norway rat)
Lineage: Eukaryota; Metazoa; Chordata; Mammalia; Rodentia; Muridae
Description: long non-coding RNA NONRATT012528
Source: RNAcentral